UACGUAGGGGGCAAGCGUUGUCCGGAUUUAUUGGGCGUAAAGAGCGUGUAGGCGGCCAUACAGGUCCGUUGUGAAAACUCGAGGCUCAACCUCGAGACGCCGAUGGAAACCCCCUGGCUAGAGUCCGGAAGAGGAGAGUGGAAUUCCUGGUGUAGCGGUGAAAUGCGCAGAUAUCAGGAAGAACACCCGUGGCUAAGGCGGCUCUCUAGUACGGUACUGACGCUGAGACGCGAAAGCGUGGGGAGCGAACAGG
RNAcentral lists this ribosomal RNA (253 nucleotides) under uncultured bacterium. Its description in RNAcentral is "partial 16S ribosomal RNA". It matches the Rfam family "Bacterial small subunit ribosomal RNA", at positions 524 to 776 of the family's 1533-position model. The record is from RNAcentral.